GAUGUAAAUUAUUUUUUUUAUUUUUGUUUCCUCCUAGUUUGGUAGAAAAGCAGGCACAAAAUGGAUCUAAGCGGGAGGGUGACUAUUUUUGAGAGACAGAGAGUCCAGCGUGGCAUAUAUUUUCUUUCGCUAAUAACUCUGCCUGGGGUCGAUCUUUCUUUCCCCUCUGUGAGAGACGAAAGGCAGAGCUUCUACUAGCUGCCAAUUCACAGUGUCGAAUUCAUUGACCAUUCUUCACUCCCACUAAAUCAACGGCGAGAAAGGAAUUGAUUUUUUUUUAAGUACUUGUCUGUCUCCCUGGAACUCCUUCAUUUCUCCUCCAAAACUAAAACCAAUUUAGAGACUCUGUUUUUCUGGUUGUUUUGCUGAACAAUCAUCUCUCUUCCUCUCUGCCUCUCUUUUUACGUUCUUUUUGUUUUACCUCUCUAAAUCUACUCCCUUUUUUUUUUUUUUUUUUUUUUUGCCAUUUUCAUUAGACCAAGUUUCUGAAUUUUCUUUUCCUCUCCAUCUCUUAAACUGCUCCACUUUCACUCCUUUUCUAGUUUUAUCUUCUGCUUAUUUCUUUUCUGAAGCAGAACAGCGUUUUUCUUUUCAUCUGGGUUCCUCAAUUCCUGGUUCUUGGCUUGACCUUAUUGUUGCAGUUUAAAAAAACCCAUUUAAACAAUCUUCUCUUACUCUAUGAAAAAAUCCAGCUUUUCACAUUCUUUGCUAUUCCUGGUAAAUCUUCGGAGGUCUCGGAGAUCAAAGAUGAUUGACGGGUUUUUUAAGCCUAAAUUCUACGUCAAAUGCAAACAACAUAUUGAGACAACGAAAAUGAGACUGGAUGCGAUAAAGACGAAGAGGAAUGCAGUUGAGAAACAUUUGAGAAGUGAUAUUGCACAUCUUCUUGGGAAUGGCUUUAUUAUCAUUGCGUAUGGAAGGGCCGAGGGACUUCUGGUUGAGCAACAUAGGUCCUCCUGUUACGAAUUAAUUGAGAAUUUUUGUGAAACUAUCUCAAAUAAUCUCAAGUCCAUGCUAAAGCAGAGGGAAUGCCCAAAAGAAUGCAGGGAAGCUGUGCCAUCUUUGAUAUAUGCUGCAGCAUGAUUUGUUGAUCUGCCUGAACUACGAAACCUCAGAAAUUUAUUUGCUGAGAAAUAUGGAAAUUCCCUCGAUCGUUGGACAAAUGAAGAGUUUAUGGAGAUGUUGAGGCCAAAACAGACUACCAACGAGAUGGUGCUUCAGUUAAUGCAGGAAAUAGCAAAAGAAUUCUCAAUUGAAUGCUGUAUAACAGACACUGAUAAUGAUCUUAAAAUAACAUACGAAAGCAAGAAAGAUGCUUUUUCAAUAAGAAAAACUCAAGAUGAUCAUGGGAACAAAAAUAGCAACACAAAGGAGGAGGAUUAUAAUGAAUCAGAAGGAAGUGAAAGUGACAUUACAUCUUAUGGAAGCAAGGAUGUUCCUUUUGAUAUCUACAAGCAGCAGAGCAGUAGUAGUGAAGAUGAAACAACCAUAGACCUUUACCGAGAUGCUCCGAAUAGAUCUUUGAGUUUGAUGGGAAGUGCUUCCGAGGAUGAAGAGGAUACAAUGAGGCCCUUCUAUCACAGAUCUAUACCUUUCCCUUACCUCAAACCAAGAACUGAAACAACGGACAACAUUUUAGAGGAACCAAGUCCAACAAAACAGAGUGGUACUGAAGUUGAGAAGGAAACAACUGACCAAAAUUAUGAUUUAGUGGUAUAUAAUAAGCCAAAUCCUAGAUCGUUUAGGAGGAGAAACUUGAAACGGACACCGCGUGGUGACAUUGUCGAGAGGCAUGGGACUGAGACUGAGAUUGAUGGUGUUGCAAAAACAACUACAACAACAAGGCAGAGAAGCAGAACGGCUGAAUUAGCCAUUGAUCCUCUUCCUCCAGCUAGAGCAUCAUCCAUGCCAAUAGAGCCAACGGCUCCAUAUGAAGCAAAACAUGAUGGGUAUGCCCGAGCGAUUUCUCUUCAGCCGGUAAUGCUGAGAAUGGCCAGUCAUGUUCAUCCUAAGCUACCGGAAUAUGAUGAUCUGGUAGCUCGAAUUGCUUCUCUCAGAGGAACAUAGAAGCAUUAAAAAAGUUAAGCAUUGAGGGAAAAAAACAUUCUCUUAGGAACUCUAAUUACAUGUCAAAAAUAGGUUGAGUUAUUGUUUGGCAGCACUGCGGUUCCAAAUUUGAAAGCCCUUUUUUUUUUUUUAAAGAAAAAAAUUUGUAACCUGAAAACUAUUAUAUUGCCAGACAAUCAAAAUUUUGAUAAUAAAUUAUAUGAUAAUUUUUUAAUAGU
Ziziphus jujuba (common jujube) is the source of this 2285-nucleotide RNA transcript. RefSeq lists it as uncharacterized. NCBI's taxonomy places the organism in Eukaryota, Viridiplantae, Streptophyta, Magnoliopsida, Rosales, Rhamnaceae. The transcript is spliced from 5 exons. The record is from RefSeq and is a predicted model, not a curated record.